Long non-coding RNA from Neofelis nebulosa (Clouded leopard), 4108 nucleotides. RefSeq lists it as uncharacterized. NCBI's taxonomy places the organism in Eukaryota, Metazoa, Chordata, Mammalia, Carnivora, Felidae. The transcript is spliced from 5 exons. The record is from RefSeq and is a predicted model, not a curated record.
GGCCAGGGCACGUGGAGCCUGGGACGUGCGGCCCCGGACUCAGACACCAAUGGGCAAAAUCACCAUCUGGAUGUGGUUUCUGGAGCGCCUGGGUCACAGGCUGGGAGGAGGGUCUGGGAGCCGCAGAGCGACAGCCAGCGAGACCCCUCUCCUCCCCAGAGGGAUUUCUGGCUGGGACGUGAAGGGACAAAAGGGGACAGAGGGAAAGGCGGAGAGGUAGGGGGACACCGCUGGACAGCGCAGGGGAGAGGAGGCCCCACGAGGAGCCAGGGCUGGAAGUCUGGUGUACGGAAGGGCUGGGCCCCCCACGCGGCCGCCCCCACGUGGCCCCCGCAGCCGUGACACGCACGUCUGACCCCUGCGCUUGGGUCAGCAGCCCACGUGAAGCUCCACCAGCCGCCAGAGCCUCAGGUCUCAGAUGAGUCCUCGCAGGUGGCCUCGCCCAGCCCCCUCCCCGGACACACAGGCACACAGGGACCCAAGAAGGCAUCCCCGGGACCCCGGCCAGCAACACGGAGCCCAGAGCCAGACCCAGGUGGCCCCCGUGGCCCCCAGGUGACUUGGGACCAGCUCUUCCUUCCUCGGUUUCCUGAUCUGUGCACCGUGGGCCAGGAUGGGCGCCCGGGGGCCCGUGAGGCCGCGUGUGAGACACCAGGCCUGCGGGCCUCUCCUCCUCGGACAGGCUGCCUUCUGGUCAGCUCACCCUUGGCCCAGCUGGCAUCCAGACUCCAUCAGCUGCCCCAGCACACCCCAGGCCGGCCCACCCGCUGCCCUCUGCCCUGCCCCGCCCGCUCCUGGCUUUGGCUGCUGGCUGCGGGGCUGCGUCUCGGGGCCAAGGAGCCUUGGAGGAGCCCUGGCCCGCUCUGUUGCCCUCUCACUGCUGGGGAGAGAGGAGCCAACGAGCGGCAGAGUGGCCAGCACAGCGAUGGCCCCGCGGGUAUCCAGACACGAGAACGCAACGGUCGCGGACAUGGACCGAGCACCGCCGACCUGCACGCGGGCCUCAGGUGCCGCCGUCCGUCCCUCGGCUCUCCAGUUUCUCCGUGGAGACCCCGCCCCGCGAGGCCGGGCGUCCGACCGCUGUCUCUGCCCGCGCAGGCGCGCUUGCUCAGAUAAGGGGGCGGGGUUGUAGCCCUCGAGGGGUGGAAAGUGAGUCAGAGCCCCUAGCUCCGUUCGUGAACCCAGUUAAAGUCCAGGUGAGUCCAUGGUGUAGAUAUAACCAAGGAAACUCCUGCGGGAGCACAGGGGCCAUGGUGGAGGCGGAAGCCUGGCCGGUGGGGAGGGCUCUGGGUGAAGAGAGAAGCAGACACUGCUCAGGACCACGCGGCACAGUAUGCAGGCCCGGAGAGUGUCAGAACGCCAAUGACAACUGCAGCUGACCUUUCCAGAACAACCGGAUCUGGCCUUUGACCUCCAGCCACCGCACGCUCCGCCACCUGGAGGCCUGGACCAAUGAGUCCUGAAUCCUGCCGCGUCGAGUGAGAGGUCAGAGAGAGGCAAGGUCCCCCAGUUCAGCCCCACCUCACCCUGCCUCUGCCUGGAUGCCAGCCAGGACGACUGCCAACAUCCACCUGAGUCACCGCUCAGGGCAGGUGUGGCCUCCCGGUGGCCCGUCCGGACACAGUCACUGAGCUGAUGAGCCUGGAACCAGAAGUGCAGCCCCGCCCUGGCUCCCUCUGCUUGCGGGCUGCUGUCGGUGCGGUCCCCGGAGGUCGAACCGGGCGCCCGGUGUUUUAUCUGGCGACCCCUCCCCCAGACUGGAGCCGCAGCCCCUGCGCCCGCCCCUGGGUUCUCGGGCGUCCUCGGGCGUCCUCGGCCUCCGCCCGCCAGCCAGCCGGGCCUCUGCCAAGCGCCGGGCAGCGCUGCCCUCUAGCGGACGGACCCCGGGAGGGCGGGGGCAGGCCGGAAGGCGGGGCCAGGGCCAGGGGGAGGAGCUCCGAGAGGCCACGCCCCCGCGGGAAAGCCGACACCCGGGGAUCAACCCGAGCGGCCCGCCCGCGCCGCGCCCGCCGCGCUGCCCAGUCACCCCCUCCCCCACCGCCCGGGCUGCAAGCAGGGUGGGCUCUGGCUGGUGGCCGCCCUGGUGGCCCGCCCGGAGGCCCCCAGACGGUGCUUGGCGGGUGGGUUGCCGGCACUCGCGGCUCUGUCGGGACGAGACUGCGGAGGGGCCUUUCCGUGCUCUUUUAUGAUCCUGCGCUCCGAUGCGCGUGCACGGCUUCCCGUGUGUGGCGGGACAGAGCUCAGUCUGGGAAGGUGGGGAGUCACGGAGGGGACGGCUGCCCGACAGCGUGAAUGCGCCAGACGCCUCCCAACCGUGCCCUUAACAACAGUUAAGAGGACAAGUCCUACGUUCUGUGUAUCUUGAACCAGGAACAGUCAUAAUUAAAAAGGCAGUGGGUUUGGGGUACCGGGGUGGUUCAGUCGGUCGAGCAUCCGUCUGUUGGAUUCCGCUCGGGUCAUGAUCUCGCGGGGGGGGGGAGGGGUGGGUUCCAGCCCCGCGUUGGGCUCUGGGCUGACAGUGUGGGGCCUCCUUGGGAUCCUCUCCUUCUCCCUCCCUCUGCCCCCGUCCCCCUCCUUCUCACGUGUGCCCUCUCGGUCUCUCAAAAUAAAUAAUAGAUGAGCGAAAAAUAAAGAAAAAGUAAAACAAAGAAACCAAAAAGGCAGCGGGUCACCCCCCGGCCGCGGGGGCCCUUCCUUCCCCACUCCCAUCCCAACGCGACCAGCUCAAAGUCUGCCUGUGUGUUUGGCUUGAGACAUGGUUUUGGGAGUCCUGGGAUCCUGCUGGUGGGGGGGGGCGGGGGCUGCAGGGGAGGAAAUGUAAGUGAAAGUGGGGGUACAGUCUCCUUUACAAGGACUGCCGCACCUCGUGUCUGCCCCGAACAGGUUGUAACAUCGACACCAUUUCCUCAUUGAACAGUGACUCAGAGAACAUCUGCCCCCCCACAGCGGCCAAAGGUUGCUGUCCCCCAGGAGGCAGCCCGGGACAGCCUCGGGAUCAGAACUGGUUGGGAGGCCAGAGGUCAGUGGCUAGGGGCCAGAGGUUGGGAAAUGAGACGGAGGCACAGAGACAGAGAGAGACAGGGCGUCCUGGCCAGGUCUCCUGACUGGUGCCUCGCCUCCUAGAUUCCCUUAGAUGUCCUCUAGGCCUGCAGUCUGGAGCCCCCUCCUCCAGGGGGCCCUCUGGAACUUGGCCACCAGGUGCACCUCUCCUGCGCACGCGUCUGUCUUAGCCACCAGGCAAGUAGGUCGUCCACGGCAAGUGCAGGGCCGGGUGGAAUUCACACGUGCGUCCCGAGCACCUGCUCGUGGCUUCUUAGUGACGGCCGGCACGGAGUUCCAAGCACAACAGGAGAUUACCAAGUAGGUGCUGCUGGGGAGUUGGAGCACGAGGUGAGGCGGGAGCACGAGUACCGGGGCGAAAGUUAAUCAUUAAGGAAUGGGGCACAGAUUCAGCCAGAAGUCCACUCACCCAGCCUUGACGCAGGAAGGAGAAAGGUCAGACAACCCUAAACACCCACCAGGAGGCAACGGGUUACGUAAAUCAGGGUGGCUUCAGGCAACAGAACAUUGCGUCACCCUGGAAAUGGCGCGGGGGCCCUGGGCUCUCAGACCCGAGCUUGGUCCGUUCUAACGGAGAAGCGUGUGCCCCAGGGUCCCGGAGGAGGUCUGCCCCAGGACCCAGGGGCCGCGGAGGUGCCCCUCGGGAAGUCCAAGGCGCUGAGGAAAACCAGUCUUUCUGGGGCCCAAGGGAAGCCUGUCUUUACCACGACGGUUAGACCAUCUCUGUGAUGUAGCAUCAGAACGAACACACAGCAUUUCGGACUUCACUGCCAACUGCGGGUCCCCGAGAAUGGGACUGAGGACUCUGGUUCUACUGAGAGAAGCAGAGGUGCUCGAGGAUCUCGAGGGGAGAUCGCCCCGGAUCACCUGGACGGGCCCUGCUCCCAGCCGCUGCCCUUGCAAGAGGAGAGGACACCGCGGGGAUCGGGCUGGGGCCCGGAUAACUCCUGCCCCUGGCCCCCAUGCCCUGCAGACAGAGAUGGCCCGCGCCUGGGGAGGUGGCCCUGAGCUCCUGCCAGUAUCCAAACUAUCCUGCCCCGCCCCCGCC